CAACCCUGAUCCAGCCAUGCCGCGUGCGGGAAGAAGGCCUUCGGGUUGUAAACCGCUUUUGUCAGGGAAGAAACGCGCUGAGCUAAUACCUCGGCGUAAUGACGGUACCUGAAGAAUAAGCACCGGCUAACUACGUGCCAGCAGCCGCGGUAAUACGUAGGGUGCAAGCGUUAAUCGGAAUUACUGGGCGUAAAGCGUGCGCAGGCGGCUUUGCAAGACAGAUGUGAAAUCCCCGGGCUUAACCUGGGAACUGCAUUUGUGACUGCAUGGCUGGAGUGCGGCAGAGGGGGAUGGAAUUCCGCGUGUAGCAGUGAAAUGCGUAGAUAUGCGGAGGAACACCGAUGGCGAAGGCAAUCCCCUGGGCCUGCACUGACGCUCAUGCACGAAAGCGUGGGGAGCAAACAGGAUUAGAUACCCUGGUAGUCCACGCCCUAAACGAUGUCAACUGGUUGUUGGACGGCUUGCUGUUCAGUAACGAAGCUAACGC
RNAcentral lists this ribosomal RNA (487 nucleotides) under uncultured bacterium. Its description in RNAcentral is "bacterial SSU rRNA". It matches the Rfam family "Bacterial small subunit ribosomal RNA", at positions 378 to 858 of the family's 1533-position model. The record is from RNAcentral.